AACAACCAUGACCUCGUUCUGGUCACCAACGCCCCUUCCUCACUGGCUCUUUAGGAAUUUCUGGUGGGAAGACCCAGGAACGAGGAGCGAUGUGCCCAUAGCAAUUGC
Molecule: non-coding RNA, 108 nt
Filed under: Compsopogon caeruleus
Lineage: Eukaryota; Rhodophyta; Compsopogonophyceae; Compsopogonales; Compsopogonaceae
Source: RNAcentral